This 256-nucleotide ribosomal RNA is filed under the name uncultured bacterium. RNAcentral describes it as "partial 16S ribosomal RNA". It matches the Rfam family "Bacterial small subunit ribosomal RNA", at positions 793 to 1055 of the family's 1533-position model. The record is from RNAcentral.
GUCCUAGCCUAACGAUGAGUGCUUGGUGUGGCGGGUAUCGAUCCCUGCCGUGCCGAAGCUAACGCAUUAAGCACUCCGCCUGGGAGUACGGUCGCAAGGCUGAACUCAAGGAAUUGACGGGGCCCGCACAAGCGGUGGAGCAUGUGGUUCAAUUCGACGCAACGCGAAGAACCUUACCUGGGCUUGAACUGUAGAUGACAUUCGGCGAAAGCCGGCUUCCGCAAGGACAUCUGCAGAGGUGCUGCAUGGCUGUCGU